Long non-coding RNA from Solanum dulcamara, 4803 nucleotides. RefSeq lists it as uncharacterized. The record is from RefSeq and is a predicted model, not a curated record. NCBI's taxonomy places the organism in Eukaryota, Viridiplantae, Streptophyta, Magnoliopsida, Solanales, Solanaceae. The transcript has 32 exons.
AUUAUCUUGGUAUUCUUCGAAGGAAAAUUCGAAAACUCGAUUAUCAAAGAAAUUGUAGUUUUCAAGAAUGUAUUGGCAUUAUUGCAUAUAUCAAGGAAAUUCAAGAAGUCUUGGUAUUCUUGCAUGCAUUCUUUUUAAGAAAAAAUGUAGAACAUUAAGCGAUUGGUAUUCAUAAACGCAUAUUUUAAGGAAAUCAAAGAAAUUGUAGUUUUCAAGAAUAUAUUGGCAUUGCAUAUAUCAAGGAAUUUCAAGAAGUUCUCGCAGCGUGUUGUAAGGAUUUGUUUUCUAGUUUUUUAGGGAGAAUGACUGAAGCUAUUUGGAGCUCAAUUCGGUCACGGGGUUAUCUUGUAUUGACGAUGUCUGAUCAAAACCCUAAAACCUAAAUCAAUUUUCCCGCUGUUAUAUCUACUGGGAGAUAGGGAGCCGAAUACCUGAGGCUAUUUGGAGCUCAAUUCGGUCGGGGGGUUAUCUUGUAUGAUUUCACAAGGUUGUUGAGGAGUUGGUUUUCAACAGCCUCGAUGCUGGUGCCAUUAAGGUAUCUGUUGCUAUAAGCAUUGGAACCUGCUACAUUAAGGUGGAUGACAAUGAUAAGAUCUGGUGUCUCACGAGAUGGACUGGUGCUGAUUAGAGAAAGAUAUGGAUUGCAUGAAUUACAUCAACUGAUGGGCUGUUUGAUGAAAAAGAGUUGCAGGGCGAAGUGUUGCAAAGCUACACUUCAGGUUCCUUCCCCUGCAGCAAACGAAGCUGACUGGAGAGUGCACUGUCAGGAGAGAGAUUCGAUCUUCGCAGAAUAUUCUGUGGGGAAGUGCUUCUGAAUAGUGUGAGCCUUAGUCCGGAUUCCUCUGUCAGCUUGAAAGUUCAAGUUAGUCAAUUGAUCGAUCUCUGGCUCCUUGCACAGUUGGUUUAAACUGGAAAUCCAGAAGCUCUGUGCAACCCCUUUCAUCCAAUGCCAGAAACUAGAGCUGUAAGGAGACUGCAGUAUUCUGCAAAAGCUACUGCUCAGAGCUUCCACAGCAGUCGUCCCAUCAGUGUGAUCAACCUUCCACCCCAAGUUGUGGUGACGGUGUAUUCUCUGAUGAAGGGCCAAGUGUGAAAAUUAAACUAGUUAACAUCUGGAAUAGCAAAUUACAAGCUCAAUGGGAGUGCAGGGAGUGCACAAGUACACACGAUGGGGAGUCAAAAGAAGAGAAAUGCUUUCCGCACGAUCAACAUUAAUGGAAGAGAAUGAGUUUGAUUAUUCAUCAAUAUCUAAUGGACCCUUACAUACUGUGCUGGGACAUUCGGAAGACUGCUGACAUUGUUUACAAGAUGUACAGAUCAUCAGAAACUACCAAUCAGUGGAUAUAUUUUGAUAUUGAACCUCGAGGUCAGCAUCUCGGCUCUGGAGGACAGGAUGGCUCAGUUCACAUUUACAAUCUUCAAACCGGACAGUGGGUAUCCAGCUUCCGAGCUGCAUUGGACACGGUUAAUGGCUUUUCAUUUCAUCCUUUCCUGCCGAUGGCUGCCUCUUCAUCAGGCCACCGGAGAUUUGGAGUUUUAGAUGACUCCCAUUAGGAUAUGCUCCUUACUGAUGAGCGAAUUCGUUUGGAAGAAUUGCGUGAAAGGUCCUUUCUGGAAAAAUGAGGACAACAAUCUAUCUUGAUUCUGAGCAAGAAUUGGUACGAUGAUAUUGAUAGUAGGUAACGUCUUGUGGGGAUGUCUUGAAACUCUUUAUAAUAGGUCAUUCCUGAAAUUGGUUACUAAUUACUACACAUCAUUUGGAAGAACUGUGUGAGAAGGUUAAUGGUUGUCAAAAAAUUAUUGAGGUGUCAUUUCAACUUGGAGUCUGUAACUUACUGAAUUAUCAGGUCCUAUUUGGAAAAAUGAGGACAAAAACUUAUCUUGAUUCUGAGCAAGAAUUGGUCAUUCCUGAAAUUGGUUACCAAUUACUACACAACUAUGCUGACCAAAUUCAAAACUGGGGUUGUAUCUGCAACAAUCAUUCUCAAACUUCAAAAUCAUUUACCAGGUGCAAUUAUGUUUGGAGACGCAUUAUUUCCUUUAGAAUGUUCUCUCAUUUUUAAGGAGUUGAAGCAGACUUCAUUGUGUUAUCAAUGUGCUCAUGAGCGAUCAAAUUUUGUCCCUCUUUUGCCAACUUGGGUGCUCUGCAUGAGCAGAUUGCUAAGUUAGGUUCGUGGAGUAGAAGUUCCUUCGAGGCAUGGCAUGGAUUACACCAGCCUGAAAUCAACCUAGAACGUGCAGCAAAGCGACUAAGAUCAGUCGUAUCCUAGUGUCUAAAAGCUCUCGAUAAUCUGGAUAUGGAGCUCGGUACAUCUAUGCAGAUUCAACAAAUAAAUGUAUGUACUAAAUGUAACACUAGCUUUUGGUUGCAGCAAGACUCUCAACACACACGCACAUACAUACACACACAAAAAAUAAGAAAAGGGAACGGAAUGUAUAGAUUCCAUGUAAAGUCGGAGUAACUCAUCGUUAAAGAAGUACUACGAUAAUGAAUUAGGAUCUUGUGUCUCACAAGGUGGACUGGUGCUGAUGGGAAAAGGAUAUGCUACAUCAAAAUACAACCAUUCAGAUCAUAUGCAUGCUUUCCCAGCAAGCUUUGACUUUGAUAGGAGAUGCACUGAGCUCUAUUUCUGACGUUUCCUUUUUGGAAAUUGUUACUAAAACUCACGGGAGGCCAAAUGGAUAUCGUAAGGUUAUGAAGGACGACAAGUGUUUGUACCUUGGAAUUGAUGAUUGUAGACAAAAUGUUGGUACAACAGGUGAUUCUGUAUAAGCCUACUUGAUAGAUGAGUUGAUGUUGUUUGCUUAUAAGGUAAUUUCUUGGGAUUAUCUCUUUGCAGUCAUUUUUCGUGAUGUAUUUUACAACCAACCAGUUCGAAGGAAGCAAAUACACUCCCAAGUACUUCUAGUUUUCUCAAAAUUCAAACUAAUAAAUAAUUUUGAUUUACAUACUUCUUAAGCUACUCUGUCCUGAUUGAUCUUUUGGUUUGCAUAUAUAAUCUGUAAACCCAAAGAGGGUCUUGCAUUCUCUCAUAGAGUCUCUGCUAAAAAUACCCCUUGUGCAUCCCAGUGUCUCCUUCAAAAUUGUUGAUUUUGAAAGUGAGGAUGACCUGCUUUGAACACAUGCUUCUCCUUCUCUGUUCCCAUUAUCUUUGGUGGAUUUGAGAUUCAUCUGAGUUCCCUUAACAAUUUGAAUGCAAGCGAUGGUUCAUUCAAGCUCUUAGGAUGCAUCUCAGGUCCUGAUGUUUACACAAUGAAGAUAUCAAUUCAAGAUUUGUUUCCAAAGGACCAAUACAUGAAUUACUUAAUAACAUAGCGAUGAGUUUUGACAGUGCUUCUGACAUUGAGAAGAGAAGUAGAUCUCAUAUAUCCACUAUUUUUGUUGAACCUAAACUGUCCAAGAUCGUUAUAUGAUUCGACUUUGGAGCCUUCAAAGACCUCUGAAUUUAAGAGCAUGGUGUUAUGGCCCGCCACUUGAUCUUGAAGAAGGUAGAAGAAUCUAGAGUCUUGGAGAGGUAAGUCUAAGUCCGUGACAAUGGGGAGUCAAAAGAAGUACACACGAUGGGGAGUUAAAAGAAGUACACACGAUGGGAGUCAAAAGAAGUACACACGAUGGGGAGUCAAAAGAAGGAAAGAAGAGUGAUAUGGGGCGCUUUAUCUUUUGCUUCAUCACUUUGUGACCGUCUGGUGGAGUAUAUUCUUGUGUAGAAACUUAGGUCCAUGUCAAUAUAAAUGUGAGUCCCUUUGUAUAUAGUCAAUGAUUAUGAUCUUUUAUUUUUUAUUCUAGCAUUUAUCUUCGUUGAACAUUACGGUCAUUGUCAUGUUCUACAACAUUCUGCAUAUGAGUGAAUUCAUUCGGAAGAACUGCGUGAGAAGGUCAUGCCUGAAAUUGGUUACCACUAACUGGGGUUGGAUCUGCAACAAUCAUUCUCAAGCUUCAAGAUCAUUUACUAGGAACUUAAAUCUGAUUCACAAGCAGCCAACAUCUGUCACACUUCUUGCGGGCAACAUUUUCUAAUACUUGUCUAUGUCACAUUAUACAUUCAAAGAGUUUAAGUAUAUGUAAACAUGCAUUUGCAUAUCAGUCUUGGAAGGGAAAGAUGCCGUGUAUUUUGUGCGUUAAUCUAACUGACGUGGAUCUGUUAGAAUUUAUUCAAUAGGUUCUUGCGUAAAUGCCGUGACAUGUUCUAUGAAUUAUGUAUUUGCAACCCACAACUUGCUUGAUGCGGAUGGAUCAUCAAUAGUACCCCCAUCAGUGAAUGGGGUCCUGAAUAAACAAGGCUUGUAGGAGUGCAAUUAUGUUUGGAGAUGCAUUGUUGCCUUCAAAAUGUUCUCUCUUUGUUGAGGAGUAGAAGCAGACUUCAUUGUGCAGCAAAGCGACUACGAUCAGUUGUAUGCUAGUGUUUAAAAGUUCUCGUGACUCAUGAGUAUACCUAAUUUGGUUAUGCUUGCUACCUACCAACCAAUAACUUCGCACUGAAGAUAUCCAGUCUGCAAUCACCACAUUGAAGGAUUAUCUGGAUCUGGAGCAUGAUACAUCUAUACAGAUUCAACAAAUACAAAUAAAUGUAUGUACCAAAUGUUACACUAGCUUUUUGUGGCAUCAACUCUUAUCUCUCUCUCAACGCACAUACACAUGAAAAAUAGGAAUAGUGAAUGGAUUAUACAAUUUCCAUGUAAAGCCAUAGUAACUCACUGUGUGUAGAUACUGAAAUAGAUAGCUUGAUUGUAUCAUCAUUCAAUCGUUGAGAUGAUUAAAUUUGUAUGUUUCACUCUUUAACUCUUUUUUUUUUUAUAUCCAUA